This 227-nucleotide unclassified non-coding RNA is filed under the name plant metagenome. RNAcentral describes it as "partial contains small subunit ribosomal RNA, internal transcribed spacer 1, and 5.8S ribosomal RNA". The record is from RNAcentral.
UUUCCGUAGGUGAACCUGCGGAAGGAUCAUUAACGAGUUAGGGUCUUUCAGGCCCGACCUCCCAACCCUAUGUUUAUUGAACCUCUGUUGCUUCGGCGGACCCGUCUCACGACCGCCGGAGGACCGCCGAGAGCCAACCACUUAACACUCUGAAUAAAUCAUGUCAUUAUGUCUAAGUCUAUGAUUAAAUUAAAGCAAAACUUUCAACAACGGAUCUCUUGGUUCUG